This 263-nucleotide unclassified non-coding RNA is filed under the name Hevea brasiliensis (rubber tree). Lineage: Eukaryota; Viridiplantae; Streptophyta; Magnoliopsida; Malpighiales; Euphorbiaceae. The record is from RNAcentral.
AAUCGGUUUCCGAUCCAUCUGCUUCUUGAGGAAGCGCAUCGAUACAUCGCGGAGAAGCCAUCCCGCUAUGCCAUAGACGCCAGCAGAGUUUACGAGCGGAUUGCCAAGGAAGGGCGAAAGUACGGGCUGUUCAUUCUCGCCGCUUCGCAGAGGCCCAGUGAACUCUCGAAGACCAUUCUUUCGCAGUGCUCGAAUUUCGUCAUCCAUCGAAUCCAGAAUCCCGACGACCUUGCUCAUAUACGGCAGAUGACCCCGUUCAUCUC